AUCGCUUCGCACGCGCCGAGACCGAUGUACCGAUGACCAAAACUGCCGGUCUGCUACAUCCUGCCCACAAGCCCUGCGUUCUGCCCACAACAUCCCACUUCGUCACAUGCACGCUUUCUUCACCUACGCCGAUUCGCUCUUCCGCUCCCCUGCCCCUCACAGCCCUGCCAGCCACUUCUCCAGCUCCUGCGCCGCCUGCUCCCACCGUGUGUCCUGUGCGCGAGUCGGAGGAGGUUGCGUAUCGGAAUGACCAUGUGAGCACCAGCACAGGAAUGCCAGCUUAAAUGCGUCAUUGUGUGGACCUUGCUGCAUGGACCAGGGAUGCGUACAUCAUACAUGGACUUCCGCCCCCUGCUUCUUGUGCCUUUGCCAUUUACAAGCAGGGCAAGAUGCCAAAGGCCAGGCUGCCAGCACCAUGGCUGUGGCGAUCUCGGCCGCCCACACCCCUCCUGCCCCCCCUCCC
Molecule: long non-coding RNA, 463 nt
Filed under: Chlamydomonas reinhardtii
Lineage: Eukaryota; Viridiplantae; Chlorophyta; Chlorophyceae; Chlamydomonadales; Chlamydomonadaceae
Description: long non-coding RNA (CREI_LNC000371)
Source: RNAcentral